UCCCUUUGCCGCGGGAGGGAGCCGCCGCCCCCCGCCAUUCCUCCCUUGGCCGCGGGAGAGAGCCGCCCCCCGCCGUUCCUUCUCUCGCCGCGGGAGAGAGCCGUCGUGCCCUUCGCCGCGAGAGUUGAGCUUCAGCUUGGCCUCCGCACCGAUGUUCCUCUUAUGCUUCCCGUCGGCCACAAGUAAGUUUCUUGUACACUGAAGCUCAACUGUUCCUAAUCUGCAGACUACAGACGACCUACCUUUUUGCGUUCUGAUGAAUUUUGGCCCUCUUAGACUUUGUUCCACAUUUGCCUUGCAUUUCAACCAAAGGGAUUGAGUUGCCUUUCAACCAAAGGAAUUGAUACAAAUGCAUUGUGAACAACUAGGUGGUAACAAAGGGAUUGAUACAAAUGCAUUGUGAACAACUAGGUGGUAACAGAACAUCAAUUGAAGUGGGAAGAUGGGGCAGCGGCGGCAUGCUAUACUGUCUUGGGCUCCCGUCCCCUGUCGUAAUCAAAUCACAACCAUUGUUGGUGAGGCUUCAGUUAACAUUCCCAUCUUCCUAGCCACUACAACGAUAAUCGGGUAACUAUGAGUCAUCAAACUGAAGUUGGCUUCUUCAUCUGUAUUUCUUAGAUGUGUGCCGAGAUAGUAGCGAGGCUUUGUUCUUAUUUCUAAUAAUUAGAUGCAGAUAUUUAGACAUUUGCUUCAGUGAUUACAAACUGAAGAAUGUGGACUGAUUUGUUAAUUUAAUUGUCAAAUUUGGUGUUGUCGGAUUUCUAUUUGUAGGUUAAUAUUCAGUGCAUGAGAAGCAUGUAUUGUGUCAUUUUCUUCUGUCAAUAUUCAGUUUGAACCAAUUAGGCGACCAAUUUGUGCUAAUUUCUAUUCAUACGUGGUCUCUGUGUAUAGAGGCUCCAAGAAAGAAGGAUGGGUGUGUAAUACGUAGUCAUGUAUUGGUUCAUUCUUUUCCACUUACAAAUGUUUUAAGAAAUCAACUAGCCUGCUUCGAAGCUGGGGACCCAUGAGUGUUAUUGUGCAAUUCCAGCUUCCAGAUUAUAAUGAGGAUCAUGGAGCUGUAGGUAGAAUGCAAUGACUUACAGUAAUGUCUACUGACUUGGCAAGAGGUUUCUUAUCAAACUAUUCACAUCUUAUUUAUAUUGUCCAUGCUAUUUGAAGGUGAAUAACUAUCUUUCAGAAUUGUGUACAUUUGGUAAAUUAUUAUUGUCCCUACGAAGCGACUUUCAGUUUAUAUAGAGAAAUUAUUUUAUGACACUACAUGAUUAAGGGAGAACAUACAUACGAUUGGGGAAAAAAAAGCAUGGGGUGACGACAAAUGGGUGCCUCUCUCAGAAGGGAUCAGGUGGAGGCUCACCGGCUGCAGCGAUGGCCACUAGCGUGAGCUGUGAAGCGCGUGGAGGCGAGAGCCUCAUGGCCUGUUGAUACGGCGCAUAAUUGCAACCCUCCAAUUCAUGUAAGUUUGUUGAUUGUGUUCUCAGUUGUCUAAGUUGUUAUAGACGCGGAUAGUGUGCAAAAUGGUGGAAUGGAAAGACCAAUAUUCUGACAGUGUGUGAGAGAUUUAUACUGAUACUAAAUUGCUAGCUGCUUGCUGAUGGGAAGCUAUCAUUGAUAGAGCAUUCAGUUGGGGGCUUACGCUCACGCAAGUACAUGGAGGAAUUCGAGACGCCUGACCUAAGUUUACUACUCCCUCCACUUAAAUGAAUAAGGCGCACACACAUUUCAAAAUCUAACUUUGGCCAUCAAUUUAACAGCCGGGGGUAUUCCUCCUUUUCGUAAAAAAAUCAAUUUAACAAACCAAAUGUGGGUUAUACCUAAUAAAAGUUAUACCGUUGAGCUCAUUUUUGAGAAAAAAUUAGUACUGCCUUCGUGCGGAAAUACUUAUCGCUAAAUGGAUGUAUCUAAACAUAUUUCAGUUCUAGAUACAUCCGUUCGAGUGACAAGAAUUUCCGGACGGAGGGAGUAGUAUAAUUUUCAAGUCACAUAAGUUGCUUGAUCUCUCCCUACUCCAUGUUAAAGAAUUCUGAUUCAGCCGAUUCCCCUGCUGAAUGCUUGUGUUUCGUACUUUCAUUUAAGUUGCCUCUUAAAAAUAAGUGUACUGUCUUUUGUGUUCCACAUAUCACAUUUGAUUUGAUCUCUGUGGGGCAGAAUAAAUACUGUAUGUUUUACAUGUGGGUUGAUGCACAGAAGUCAUUUGCUGCACGUCUUUAUUCCUACAAGCUUUACUAUUAUAACUUGAUAGCAUGUGGAAUUUUGGAUAAUUGCAGCGCCUCACCCCGCUCCACUCCAUGCCAGCCCCACAGUCAUGUUAUUGAACAUUGGAGAGAAACCGAGCACCACUUUUCACUUGAAUUAGAAACACCAAAGGUUUGGGAUUAUGCUCGUGACGACUAUGUCCAUCAUGUAUCGUGUCCAAAGCAGAUGGUAUGUGUUCAUAUGUAAUGGUGGUGCAGUAAUGGAUCAAGCUCUAUUGAACAGGAAAGUUAAGCUGUAAUCUAUGGUAUGUUUCUGUAUAUUUUCUUUUACAAACGUGCUACUUCUCUUCUUUUAGAUUGUUGGAUAGUACAAUGAUCUGGUCAACGUUUAUUACCAGCUUAUAAGUUCAUUGUGACUCUGGUUUUGUGCUAAUGUAGUACUGAUAUGAGUCACUUCUGCUAGAAAUCAAAGAGAAUUAAAUGUAAGUUUCUGCUACUGCA
Molecule: long non-coding RNA, 2693 nt
Filed under: Triticum aestivum (bread wheat)
Lineage: Eukaryota; Viridiplantae; Streptophyta; Magnoliopsida; Poales; Poaceae
Description: long non-coding RNA (TAES_LNC012750)
Source: RNAcentral